This 534-nucleotide long non-coding RNA is filed under the name Marmota monax (woodchuck). The record is from RNAcentral. Lineage: Eukaryota; Metazoa; Chordata; Mammalia; Rodentia; Sciuridae.
UCCUACGUACUGGGCCAUGCUGCUUAUGGAGGUGCUGGAGAGCGGGUGCUGAGCUGUUGGGUAUGAAGUGUAACAGAACAGACUUUACCACCUGAAACUGCUGCUUCAAGUUCAGAUCAGGCAAGGAAUAAACCUAGUAACAACCAACAAGACCAAAGAAGAGUACACUUAAGUUGAAGACACAACACUUGAUCUGAAACAAGAAGUUUGUGCCUACUCAACAGCUUUGAAAGAGAACUUCCCAACACUGCUAGUAGUCUUUGUUUUCUUCAGUGCUGUACUGUGAGAUGCCCGGUGCAGCAGCAGUUGUAUUCUUUAUUAGUUUGGUAGAUCUUUUUCUCUCGCUCUUUUUUUUUUUUUAAUACUAGCAACUUUCAUCCUUUGAAACGUGUGCUGAAAAAGAAGAAUCAGCAAAUACUACUGAAAGUGCAAUAUUUGAUUAUCACUGCAACAUGAGCUUUGAUCCAAACCUUCUCCACAACAAUAGACACAAUGGGUACCCUGUAAAGGAUGAUGGAAAAGCUCUAUAAGCUC